RNAcentral lists this unclassified non-coding RNA (255 nucleotides) under Hevea brasiliensis (rubber tree). The record is from RNAcentral. Lineage: Eukaryota; Viridiplantae; Streptophyta; Magnoliopsida; Malpighiales; Euphorbiaceae.
AUCUUUGCUCCUGGUUGGCUCUACGAGACUCAACAACUGCCUGAUUUUUGGACUGCUCAAAAUCGUUGGUGGACCCUUGUAGAAAAGUCAUGGGGAUUAGUGAACAAAUAUCCCAAAACACUACCAUUUUAUUCAAAUUUUGAUCAGGGUCAUGGAUAUCAUAUUUCAGUUGAGGGACAACAAGUAAUGGAAACUUCUUGGAACAACAUGUCUUGCCAAGGGCUUCAGUGUCAAAGAAGCAUCUUAUAAUGGGGG